CCACGUGGAGUUGGAUUUACGGGUCAGGUCCUUGUAGCGGGGUGGCAGGAAGACGCGAUAAAGGGAUAAAAAAGAAGCUGAUACGUGUCGUGUGCCUCGGGUGAUCGUAACAGACGAGCCCGACUGAUACGUGCGGCAGAAGCCUAGAAAGAGCUGCAAAAGCGCCCGCUUAGAGGUAAUGGAAAGGCAAGCCGCAUAUGAUUUUUUAUUUGCUUUUUUACAAAAGAGACAGAUUAAGGGGAUGAAUUUGCAAAAGAAUUUAACCAGACUUUGGACUGAUAGCUAUACUAAAGGGGUUUUCCUUGUCCUCCUUGCGGUUUACAACUUAACGGGAUGGCGUGAAUUCAGUGAUUUAUCAUGGGACACUGAUAAAACUGUCAAGAAGUUGAGCAGCCGCGCCGAGCGACCGCCUGUAGUGCUGCGCUGUAGAGGCGAUAACAAAGGCAGCGGCGGGGAGAAGCCGCGCCGCACGGCGGGAACCGAGCUAAGCAAGCCGCGGGGGGCCGCGGCGGAAGCCGAGCCAGCCGCCGCGAGAGCCGCCGGAGAAGCCGCACCGAGAAGCCGCGCGGAGAGCCCAGCAGCAGUGGGAGCCGAGAGCAGCCAGAACAGCCGCGGGAGCCAAGAGCAGCGAAAGCAGCCACGCCGCGCCCCGCGCGGAGGAAGCCGCCGAGGCUGCAGCGCGGACAGAGCGCGCACCGCAUCCAGCAGCACCACCAGCACUGCGGGCAUGCCGAGCCUGGCCCCAGCGGGACAUCGCAGGGAGCCGAGCAGCGCGGCGGGAGCGACCCGGCCAGCGACAGCUGCAGCAGAGUCAACCUGUUGGCAAGUAAACAAAGAGCCCACCGCGGCUGGAGCGGGGCCGCCGCGGGGGGAGCAGCCGUGCCCCGCAGCCAGCGCCAGGCAGCCGCCAGCAGCCCCGGGCGGCAGAAGCCGUGCCGUGCCGAGCGGCGCGGGGGACGUCUCGGUCCCCCUUGCGCCGCGCCGAGCAGCGCCCCUCCUCCGACAUUCGCGCCGCAAAGCCACGGGAAGAGCUCAGCGCGGGGGGGCUUAAUCCCUCCUCCGACGCACGCCGCAAGACCAAAUUAACUCUUAGUAGCUCUGCUCUAAUUUAAAGCUACUUAAGUCUGUUACCUUAGUUUAUAUGUAUUUCAUACUCAUUUUCUUAAGUUUUGGGUUUCUUUUUUCCUCUCCUGCCCAGACCAGUAGUAAGCCAGGUGAGAG
This 1221-nucleotide long non-coding RNA is filed under the name Junco hyemalis (dark-eyed junco). RNAcentral describes it as "lncRNA (ENSJHYG00000015225.1)". Lineage: Eukaryota; Metazoa; Chordata; Aves; Passeriformes; Passerellidae. The record is from RNAcentral.